RNAcentral lists this long non-coding RNA (415 nucleotides) under Monodelphis domestica (gray short-tailed opossum). Its description in RNAcentral is "lncRNA (ENSMODG00000048383.1)". The record is from RNAcentral. Lineage: Eukaryota; Metazoa; Chordata; Mammalia; Didelphimorphia; Didelphidae.
AAAAUAGAGAGGGGGAAAAAAGCAGAAAGAAGCUGAAUCUUAAACCUAUGACCAUUAAUCCAUUCUUAAAAAUGAGAAAUGACUUCUAAACUCCAUUGACCAAUGUUUUAUCUAGUGGGCUUGGCUGCUAAAAUAAUUUCUCUUCCUCUUUGGAGUUUUAGGUGAUUGUCUCCUGGGCUUGCCUCUCACGCAGGCUGGUCUGUAACUACUCUGUCCUCUGAGUGCACAGAACUGCUUCUAGAAGCCUGUCAGAUGACCAUGGCAGGAUGUUACAUUUGUGCACUUGGAUCAAAGGUGGUGAGGAGCAAUGCCAAGAACAAAGAGUUAAAGGAAGAAAAAUGUCCUUGUUAAGAACACAUUAGUACUGCUAAUCUCUCAUCUGCUAUCACCUUCAGGCCCAGAUACACUGUUACUA